UUUACAUAAAAUUUAUGUAAUUCGGUUAUUUACCGAACCAAAUCGUAUAUUCAGUUCGGUAAACGUUAUGAAAUGUUCGCGUACCGAAAUUUAUCUGAUCCGUUAUAGUUUCUUGUUUCGGUUCAUUACAGGGGACUAAAGCACCUUGUGGUUAGCAUCUCUCACUUGUAGUUCCUGUAAUUUCGAGAAACGUGCACUUCAGCUUUCGAAGGAACUGGAUAUCAUUUGUUUGCUGCAAGAAUAUUGCUGUCGGUGCUCGACGCUGCGAUAUCUCCAUGGAUUCGACGAAGCACAAAGCUGUUAUGCGCAGUACGAAAACAGGCGCUACUCGAUAUUUCAGGAAAUGGUAUUAUACCGAAUUCGAUGAAGUAGUACUCUACAGUCGUAACAUCGAAGGAUGAAGCUGAUUAGGGUUGCUGCUAAUUUUUUGGUGAAAAGAGAGAUACACAAUAUAUAUAUA
Molecule: non-coding RNA, 460 nt
Organism: Erythranthe guttata (spotted monkey flower)
Lineage: Eukaryota; Viridiplantae; Streptophyta; Magnoliopsida; Lamiales; Phrymaceae
Source: RefSeq, a predicted model, not a curated record